AAGUCGUAACAAGGUCUCCGUAGGUGAACCUGCGGAGGGAUCAUUACUGAGUGAGGGCCUUCUGGUCCGACCUCCAACCCCAUGUUAUCCGACACUGUUGCCUCCGGGGCGACCCGGCCUUCGGGCGUCGGGGCCCCGGGUGGACCAUCCAAACACUGCAUCUUUGCGUCUGAGUACACGAUUGAAUCAAUCAAAA
Molecule: unclassified non-coding RNA, 196 nt
Filed under: plant metagenome
Description: partial contains small subunit ribosomal RNA and internal transcribed spacer 1
Rfam family: Eukaryotic small subunit ribosomal RNA (bases 1-46)
Source: RNAcentral